GACGAACGCUGGCGGCGCGCCUAACACAUGCAAGUCGAACGGAGUCAAGAGGAGCUUGCUUUUCUUGACUUAGUGGCGCACGGGUGAGUAACGCGUGAGUAACCUGCCCUGGAGUGGGGGACAACAGUUGGAAACGACUGCUAAUACCGCAUAAGCCCACGGAUCUGCAUGGAUCUGCGGGAAAAGGAUUUAUUCGCUCUAGGAUGGACUCGCGUCCAAUUAGCUAGUUGGUGAGGUAACGGCCCACCAAGGCGACGAUUGGUAGCCGGACUGAGAGGUUGAACGGCCACAUUGGGACUGAGACACGGCCCAGACUCCUACGGGAGGCAGCAGUGGGGGAUAUUGCACAAUGGGGGAAACCCUGAUGCAGCGACGCCGCGUGGAGGAAGAAGGUUUUCGGAUUGUAAACUCCUGUCGUUAGGGACGAUAAUGACGGUACCUAACAAGAAAGCACCGGCUAACUACGUG
This 468-nucleotide ribosomal RNA is filed under the name uncultured bacterium. RNAcentral's name for it is "partial 16S ribosomal RNA". It matches the Rfam family "Bacterial small subunit ribosomal RNA", at positions 28 to 507 of the family's 1533-position model. The record is from RNAcentral.